This 425-nucleotide ribosomal RNA is filed under the name uncultured bacterium. RNAcentral describes it as "bacterial SSU rRNA". It matches the Rfam family "Bacterial small subunit ribosomal RNA", at positions 355 to 776 of the family's 1533-position model. The record is from RNAcentral.
UAGGGAAUAUUGCGCAAUGGAGGAAACUCUGACGCAGCAAUGCCACGUGAGUGAGGAAGGCCUUCGGGUUGUAAAGCUCUGUCCUAUAGGAAGAAUGGUUGGAGGUAACGCUUCAAUUUGACGGUACUAUAGAAGAAAGCACCGGCUAACUCCGUGCCAGCAGCCGCGGUAAUACGGAGGGUGCAAGCGUUGUUCGGAUUUACUGGGCGUAAAGCGCGCGCAGGCGGACUAGCAAGUCAGAUGUGAAAUCCCAGGGCUUAACCCUGGAACUGCGUCUGAAACUGUUAGUCUAGAAUCUCAUAGGGGGUAGGGGAAUUUCACGUGUAGGGGUAAAAUCCGUAGAGAUGUGAAGGAACACCGGAGGCGAAGGCGCCUACCUGGAUGAGUAUUGACGCUGAGGCGCGAAAGCGUGGGGAGCAAACAGG